Molecule: unclassified non-coding RNA, 184 nt
Filed under: soil metagenome
Description: partial contains 5.8S ribosomal RNA, internal transcribed spacer 2, and large subunit ribosomal RNA
Source: RNAcentral
AACCAUAGAAACCUGCGGAGUACCUGCGGAGGGAUCAUUAAAAAAAUGAUGAAUGUCGGAGGGCGUUCAAAGUUUCUUACCUGUCGCUCUCCGUGUAUUCAACCAACCCGCUCUUGCAUUUGGAUCAACCAAUAAUAAACAAAAAUACUUAUUAUAAUAAAAAUAAACUUUCAACAACGGAUCU